AAGAAUGCCAACAAAUUUGGCACCAAAUGAUUGAGGGCCAAAUCCAUUUCCUUUUCAGCUUCGGGCUAGAAGUACAUAUCGUAAAAAUUAGAAUAGUAAAACUAAAUCAAAACUUUUAAAAGAACUAAAUUAAUGUAGUUUAUUUAUACCAGGUGUGCCCUCUAGUUGAAGUGAAAGAUAGAUCUUGUAUAGUUUUCUGACACCGCCCAUUCCAAUACCUCCUCCUGAAUGCUCUCUCUUUCACUGCAAGCAAAACAAUGACCCCAUAUGUACUUCACAUUGCAAACCCCCUGUUUUUCUAAAACCUUGUACAUGUUUUAGUAUUCCAAGUCUCCUCUUUUUAAUUAUUUUUUAUUUUUUAUAAUCUUCUAUGUAAGAAACAUGUUUACUCUGUUUCCUGAACCUAUCUUUCAAAUCUUCACAUUCCUUGAUUAUCAUAAAAGUUUCACCUAAUGGAAAUGUUCAAAUCUUCAUAUAACC
RNAcentral lists this long non-coding RNA (480 nucleotides) under Prunus persica (peach). RNAcentral describes it as "long non-coding RNA (PPER_LNC007633)". Lineage: Eukaryota; Viridiplantae; Streptophyta; Magnoliopsida; Rosales; Rosaceae. The record is from RNAcentral.